CAGGAUAGUGAAUGUCUUUGGAAGCCAGUGCAAACGCAACAGUUUUGUCAGGCUGACCGUGAAUCGAUAUGGGUCAUCAAGGUGAAUAUUGAUGAACAGGUCGAGCCUCACAGGUCUGUUGCGUGUGCUUUUAUUUGAUGAAUUCUAACUGAAUUGGUAGCACAUGAACCCCAUAAUAACGAAUCGGUUACAAAAUAAGCUAGGAUAUACCUUUAAAC
This is a non-coding RNA of Xenorhabdus poinarii, 218 nucleotides long. The record is from Rfam. Lineage: Bacteria; Pseudomonadati; Pseudomonadota; Gammaproteobacteria; Enterobacterales; Morganellaceae.